CCACCGAAUACAUUAGCAUGGGAUAAUGGAAUAGGACCCUGUCCUCCUAUUUUCAGUUGGUUUUGGCAGCGCGAGGACUAGGGUAAUGAUUAAUAGGGAUAGUUGGGGGCAUUAAUAUUUAAUUGUCAGAGGUGAAAUUCUUGGAUUUAUGAAAGAUUAACUUCUGCGAAAGCAUCUGCCAAGGAUGUUUUCAUUAAUCAAGAACGAAAGUUAGGGGAUCGAAGACGAUCAGAUACCGUCGUAGUCUUAACCAUAAACGAUGCCGACCAGCGAUUAGGAGACGUUGAAUACAAAACACCACCAUCGGCGCGGUCGUCCUUGGCGUGUCUCGGCUUCACGGCUGGGGCGCGCGAGGGCGGUUUAGCCCGGUGGCACCGGUGAAUGACUCCCU
RNAcentral lists this ribosomal RNA (391 nucleotides) under Acanthamoeba sp. MMN-2011/T4. RNAcentral describes it as "SSU rRNA". The stretch from base 1 to 336 matches the Rfam family "Eukaryotic small subunit ribosomal RNA", at positions 792 to 1115 of the family's 1831-position model. The record is from RNAcentral. Lineage: Eukaryota; Discosea; Longamoebia; Acanthamoebidae.